RNAcentral lists this ribosomal RNA (759 nucleotides) under bacterium MS-AsIII-22. RNAcentral describes it as "bacterial SSU rRNA". It matches the Rfam family "Bacterial small subunit ribosomal RNA", at positions 92 to 838 of the family's 1533-position model. The record is from RNAcentral.
UCAGCGGCGGACGGGUGAGUAACACGUGGGCAACCUGCCUGUAAGACUGGGAUAACUCCGGGAAACCGGGGCUAAUACCGGAUAACUCUUUUCCUCACAUGAGGAAAAGCUGAAAGAUGGUUUCGGCUAUCACUUACAGAUGGGCCCGCGGCGCAUUAGCUAGUUGGUGAGGUAACGGCUCACCAAGGCCACGAUGCGUAGCCGACCUGAGAGGGUGAUCGGCCACACUGGGACUGAGACACGGCCCAGACUCCUACGGGAGGCAGCAGUAGGGAAUCUUCCGCAAUGGACGAAAGUCUGACGGAGCAACGCCGCGUGAGUGAUGAAGGUUUUCGGAUCGUAAAACUCUGUUGUCAGGGAAGAACAAGUACCGGAGUAACUGCCGGUACCUUGACGGUACCUGACCAGAAAGCCACGGCUAACUACGUGCCAGCAGCCGCGGUAAUACGUAGGUGGCAAGCGUUGUCCGGAAUUAUUGGGCGUAAAGCGCGCGCAGGCGGUUCCUUAAGUCUGAUGUGAAAGCCCCCGGCUCAACCGGGGAGGGUCAUUGGAAACUGGGGAACUUGAGUGCAGAAGAGAAGAGUGGAAUUCCACGUGUAGCGGUGAAAUGCGUAGAGAUGUGGAGGAACACCAGUGGCGAAGGCGACUCUUUGGUCUGUAACUGACGCUGAGGCGCGAAAGCGUGGGGAGCAAACAGGAUUAGAUACCUGGUAGUCCACGCCGUAAACGAUGAGUGCUAAGUGUUAGAGGUUUCCGCCC